AGUGAACGCUGGCGGUAGGCCUAACACAUGCAAGUCGAACGGCAGCGCAGUAAGAGCUUGCUCUUACGGGUGGCGAGUGGCGGACGGGUGAGGAAUACAUCGGAAUCUACUUUUUCGUGGGGGAUAACGUAGGGAAACUUACGCUAAUACCGAAUACGACCUACGGGUGAAAGCAGGGGAUCUUCGGACCUUGCGCGAUUGAAUGAGCCGAUGUCGGAUUAGCUAGUUGGCGGGGUAAAGGCCCACCAAGGCGACGAUGCGUAGCUGGUCUGAGAGGAUGAUCAGCCACACUGGAACUGAGACACGGUCCAGACUCCUACGGGAGGCAGCAGUGGGGAAUAUUGGGCAAUGGGCGCAAGCCUGAUCCAGCCAUACCGCGUGGGUGAAGAAGGCCUUCGGGCUGUAAAGCCCUGUUGUUGGGAAAGAAAAGCAGCAGGUUAAUACCCCGCUGUUCUGACGGUACCCAAAGAAUAAGCACCGGCUAACUUCGUG
RNAcentral lists this ribosomal RNA (492 nucleotides) under uncultured bacterium. Its description in RNAcentral is "partial 16S ribosomal RNA". It matches the Rfam family "Bacterial small subunit ribosomal RNA", at positions 29 to 507 of the family's 1533-position model. The record is from RNAcentral.